UACAGAGGGGGCAAGCGUUGUUCGGAAUUACUGGGCGUAAAGGGCGCGUAGGCGGCCUGCUAAGUCGAACGUGAAAUCCCCGAGCUCAACUCGGGAACUGCGUCCGAUACUGGCAGGCUUGAAUCCGGGAGAGGGAUGCGGAAUUCCAGGUGUAGCGGUGAAAUGCGCAGAUAUCAGGAGGAACACCGGUGGCGAAGGCGGGUCUCUGGGCCGAUACUGACGCUGAGGAGCGAAAGCGUGGGGAGCGAACAGG
Molecule: ribosomal RNA, 253 nt
Filed under: uncultured bacterium
Lineage: Bacteria
Description: partial 16S ribosomal RNA
Rfam family: Bacterial small subunit ribosomal RNA
Source: RNAcentral